Non-coding RNA from Mastomys coucha (southern multimammate mouse), 427 nucleotides. Lineage: Eukaryota; Metazoa; Chordata; Mammalia; Rodentia; Muridae. The record is from the annotation of a RefSeq genome assembly.
GGUCAGUUAGUCCUAAUUAUAACAAAGCAUGAAAAUGAGGGUCUCUGUUCAAUUCCUGGGGCUGAUGACGCUCUUGUUUACAAGUGCCAGAUGUGACAUUCAGGUUACUCAGUCUCCAUCCUCAUUGUUCGUAUCUCUGGGAGACAGAGUCACCCUCACUUGUAGAGCAAGUCAGGAUAUUAGCAACAGGAUGGCUUGGUACCAGAAGAAACCAGGGGAAGUUCCAAAGCUCUUGAUCCAUUCUGCAUCCACUUUGCAAUCAGGAAUUCCUUCCAGGUUUAGUGGUAGUGGGUCAGGGAAAGAGUUUUCCUUUAUCGUCAGCCAUCUGGAGCCUGAAGAUGUUGCAACUUACUACUGUCAGCAAGGAUAUAGCUUGUACCACAGUGAUACAUGUAAUGACAAAAAUGACUCACAGAAGCAGAAGUGA